This 1614-nucleotide ribosomal RNA is filed under the name Triticum aestivum (bread wheat). RNAcentral's name for it is "partial small subunit ribosomal RNA". Lineage: Eukaryota; Viridiplantae; Streptophyta; Magnoliopsida; Poales; Poaceae. The record is from RNAcentral.
AUGGUCUUCGAGGAUGAGAGCAGCGACGACUUGUCCGGCCUGCGGAUCUCCUCCGACGACGGGAUGCAUUAUCAGAUACCUGCUAGCAUUGAAGACCAAGACUACAAUGGCUUAGAGAAUGCACCAGAGGGGCUCUAUGUGGAGCAUCGGCUGCCAACUAAGCGCCGUGUAGCUUUUCAAUCAUUUGAGACGGGCAGGAGGUUUCUAGUUUGUGCUCAGCCUGAAGCUGUCAAUUGUGGUUUCCUUGCUUGGGUUGACCCGGAGUGGCCUCCCACAAUGCAAAAUGCAUUGUUGAAGCUUUGGGAAAUGUUUGAAGACAGCAGGACUGCUAGGAGGAAGGAUAACCUGAAAAGUUCACUUACUAUCCACCACUUUAAAGAAGAGAAAAGGAAUCUGGAUGCCAACUAUGACAAACUAGUUGAAGAUGUCCAUCAACUUCUCAGUGCCCAGGAGGACAGGGUGUUGGAUUUCAGCUCUCUUCAAGCUAAGGAGAAGAGAGAUGAGAGAGCCAGUGCAUCAGUUGUGGCUGCCAUGAACAAUGAGAUGGAGAAGAAAGAGGCAGAGAACUUCAGGAUGAAAGAGAAGUACAAAGUGCUGAAGAACCUGGUAGAAGCUCAAGGCAGUGUCAUUAGGAACCUGAAGAUGAAUCAUUUGGAAGAGAAGGAAAAGCUAGCUGAAGGAAACGACAAUUUAAAGAUCCAGGCUCCCAGCUUCCAUCGAGCCUCUGGAAGGAGAGGGGACGAAUCGAGGUCGCCGGUGCCCUACCGUGAGAGCCCGAUGGCGUAUGAGCCGGAGAAGCUCUGCUGGUGCAGGCCGCGUAGGAAGGCGCCGAGAUGGAUCUCAUGGAGCCACCAGAACCCAGGCAGGAGGUACUACGCCUGCGUGGAUGCCAUGCAUGGUGGUUGUGGCUUCCUUGAAUGGCAUGAUGAUCCUCUGCCUAAGUUUUUGAGUGAUUUGAUUGGAGAUUUGCAAGAUGAAGUGCGUAGGCUGAGAGGUGAAUCAAGUGUUGGUGUGUUUGAAGAUGACAGUGCAGUUGUGGCUCUGCCUGAAGCUCAAAGAGGAAGAGAGGUGGUGGCUUUGGAAGAUCAGCUCAGGGAGAAAAAUGCAGAGCUAGAUGCACUGAAGGCCAAAUAUCAGAAUGUUGUCUUUCUUUUUCUUAUCUUUGUGACUCAAGCUUGUUUUGGCACUGAAGAUGCAAGUAGUGGUCAGGUUGAUCCUUGAGCACCAGAAGUAGAAGGACUAGAAGAUGAAGCUCAUUCAGCAAAUCUUGGGGCGGUGAAAGGCCUUGCAAAUCUUGCACUUGCACUUGCUGACCCUCUAGCAGUUCUUGAAGCAGAUCUAGCAGUAGCACUUGCACUAGCUGACCCUCUAGCAGUUCUUGAAGCAGAUCCAGCAGAUCUUGCAGUAGAAGAUCUUGCAGAAGAGACCUUGCUGGUGGCUGCUAUGAUCCUGAUAGAGUAUCUUCAUUCCUUGAUCUUGCAGUUGGUGUACCUAUGGCCUUGGAGCCCACAGUUGCUGCAUGUUAUAGUGGCCAUUCUUGAACUGUCCUUGGGUUUUGGAACCUCAAAUUUGCCCUUUAUUCUCUUCUCUUUCCUUCUUCCCUUCUUCACAUGA